UAAGAUUAGCUAGUUNGUGAGGUAACGGCUCACCAAGGCGACNAUCUUUAACUNGUCUGAGAGGAUGAUCAGUCACACUGGAACUGAGACACGGUCCAGNCUCUANGGGAGGCAGCAGUAGGGAAUAUUGCACAAUGGAGGAAACUCUGAUGCAGCGACGCCGCGUGAGUGAUGAAGGCUUCGGGUCGUAAAGCUCUGUCGCAGGGGAAUAACACAAUGAAUGUACCCUGUAAGAAAGGAUNCGGCCUUGNGUCUCGGANNGGUUACUAGAAUUGUUGGUGUAGUGGUGAAAUACGUAGAUAUCAACAGGAAUACCGGANGNGANGGCGGGUAACUGGCCGAACACUGACACUGAGAUCCNNAAGCGUGGGGAUCAAACAGGAUUAGAUACCCUNGUAGUCCACGCNGUAAACGAUGGAUACUUGUUGUUGGAGGUAUUGACCCCUUCAGUGACGAACUAACGCGUUAAGUAUCCCGCCUNGGGAGUACGGUNGCAAGAUUGANGUNAAGUCCUAAUGGCCCUUAUGCCUAGGGCUACACACGUGCUACAAUGGUAGUACAGAGCGAANCUNAGUCGGCAGGUAGAGCAUNUCGCUUAAAAGCUAUCUAAGUUCGGAUUGAUCUCUGCAACUNGAGAUCAUGAAGUUGGAAUCGCUAGUAAUCGCGGAUCNGAAUGCCGCGGUNAAUACGUUCC
RNAcentral lists this ribosomal RNA (694 nucleotides) under Bdellovibrio bacteriovorus. Its description in RNAcentral is "16S ribosomal RNA". It matches the Rfam family "Bacterial small subunit ribosomal RNA", at positions 236 to 1374 of the family's 1533-position model. The record is from RNAcentral. Lineage: Bacteria; Pseudomonadati; Bdellovibrionota; Bdellovibrionia; Bdellovibrionales; Pseudobdellovibrionaceae.